AUGAUGGAUAAGAGCACCCCAACGCUUCUGGACAAACCCUAUCGCCCUUUCCCUCUCUUCCUCGCUCGCUCUCAUCACUGCAACCCACAACAGAAGCCUUGUGGCCAUGACCGUCAUCGUCCAUGCGCUCUGCGUCGUCCCCGCGCCAUGAGACCUUGUCCAUCCUCUCCGUCAUCGUCCGCUUCAUCAUCUGCGUCCACGAGCUCGAGCCGGCAUCCACUCCAUCGCCGGGAUCGAGCCCUUCUUCUUCCUCCGACCGACCCCAUCUCGCCGUCACCACCGCUGCUCCGGUCCAUCCCCGCGGCAACCGAGGUGUCCACAAGCCUCGUGAUGGAGGUGGCCAGAAGCGUAGUCUUCGACGGGACAUUGGAGUCCAGGAGCCAGACGCCACCGUUGAUGACGACUACUACUACUCGGGAGGUGCCUGCUACUACAUGCAGGCCACUGACGAUGACCAUGAGUAGUUUAGGAGGAUCCCAGGCAGGAGGCCUAUGCCUCUUUCGAUAA
This 507-nucleotide ribosomal RNA is filed under the name Triticum aestivum (bread wheat). Its description in RNAcentral is "partial small subunit ribosomal RNA". Lineage: Eukaryota; Viridiplantae; Streptophyta; Magnoliopsida; Poales; Poaceae. The record is from RNAcentral.